AGUUAAAAAGCUCGUAGUUGGAUUUCUGUGGGGGCGGAGCGGCCGGCCGCAACUUGCGGUUCGAGCUAGCGCUUCCCCUACAUCCUGCCGCGAACCGUGCUACCAUUAGUUUGGUGGCGCCGGGGAUCGGCUCGUUUACUUUGAGAAAAAUAGAGUGUUCAAAGCAGGCCACACGCCUUGAAUAAGUUAGCAUGGAAUAAUAAUAAAGGACUUCGGUUCUAUUUUGUUGGUGUUCGGGACUGAAGUAAUGAUUGAUAGGGACAGUUGGGGCGGUCAGUAUUCCAAAGCGAGAGGUGAAAUUCUUAGACCUUCGGAAGACUAACAGCUGCGAAAGCGUUCCGCAAGGAUGUUCCCUUUGAUCAAGAACGAAAGUUGGGGGAUCGAAGACGAUCAGAUACCGUCGUAGUCUCAACUAUAAACUAUACCAGCUAGGGAUCGGCCAACGUUAAAUUAUUCGACUUGGUCGGCACCUUAUGAGAAAUCAAAGCAUCUGGGUUCCGGGGGGAGUAUGGUCGCAAGGCUGAAACUUAAAGGAAUUGACGGAAGGGCACCACCAGCCGUGGAGCCUGUGGCUUAAUUUGACUCAACACGGGAAAACUUACCAGGUCCAGACAUAGUAAGGAUUGACAGAUUGAUAGCUCUU
This 643-nucleotide ribosomal RNA is filed under the name uncultured marine eukaryote. RNAcentral describes it as "SSU rRNA". It matches the Rfam family "Eukaryotic small subunit ribosomal RNA", at positions 617 to 1259 of the family's 1831-position model. The record is from RNAcentral.